Non-coding RNA from Heterocephalus glaber (naked mole-rat), 5860 nucleotides. The record is from RefSeq and is a predicted model, not a curated record. Lineage: Eukaryota; Metazoa; Chordata; Mammalia; Rodentia; Bathyergidae.
GGAAGGGAACGCCCGCUUCCCCAGGACGGGGCGCCGCGCCCGCACCUCCCGCCGGCCCUGGCCGGCCCGAGGUGGGGCUCACGCGGGUCUGUCACCCUGCAGGCCCCAAGUGGCAGGGUUCGGUGGGAACCAGAGUAAAAUGGAAUAAAGUACAGAUGAAAGAAAGAAAGAGAGCUGUGGGUGGAGGGAGGCAGAGGGGAAGCAGCGCGUGGAGGAGUCCGGGAGCCGGGGGGCUUAGGAAGGGGAUUCAGCCCGGCCCUCAGGCCCUGCGAAUCAGGAAGGAAGCGGGAGGUAAAUCAAACACCUCUCCACCUGCCAUCCGCUUUCAAAGAGCAGCUGCUGGGAGAUGCUUUCACCUCCCAGGAGAGAGCACAGUUUUCCUGCUCCGGGGAUGACGUUGCUUAAAUAAAACGCCUCCAGCCCCCCGCUUUGCUGCUACCCCUGGGAAAGCCGUGCCCAGCUCCUCGGAGCAUAACAGCCUUGGAAAGACACUUUAUAAGAAACAGUAUACAGGCCUGCAAUGUAGCUCGAGACUUGAAAAAGGAACACAUCGCCACUACCUGGUCUCUUCAGCUCGAAAGGAACCAGAGACGGCCUGCUGAAGGACCACGCUAGCCUCUGCAGUACCCCAGUCGGUGGUCACCCGGAAUCCUUCAGCAACGCUCUCUGCAGCGUGCAACAGCUAUGAUGCGCUUCCAGCAAUUCGGCUUUCUUCACGGUGAAUGAGACUGAUUUGUGGUCACAGCUGUAGCAGACUCCGGACAGGUAAUCUGCAUGUUGGCCUGGAACAUCUUACACCCUUCACGCUGCUGGGCUUCAGGGGUCACCUGGUCCAGGGAUGUCGCCAUCUGGCUGCAACAACCACCGUGGACAUGUAAAGAAGAUAGACAUCCUUGGGCCGCACUCCACCCAUCCAGUGGUGGCUCCUGGUAGACAGCAGUUUGGUGUCCUAGGAAAUAUAAGCUGGCUUUUCCGAAACCUAGGCAGGGAGCAGCUAGUACCAUAGCUAAAGGAGCAAAGAGUGCUGGCGGGUGGGGGUGGGGGGUUCCCAGCAUGAUUGGACUACGGGGCAGAAUGCGCAUAAGCUGGCAGUGCUGAGCGGGGCCUGACUCUUCUUGGAGAGAAAGGUGUCACUUCCAGAUGAGGAUGACAUGUCAAGAAGUUGCUGCUAACCUAAAGUCCUCCACAGGACCUUUUGUUGUGAGCUGCAGAAACCAAACUUGAAUGAGUUUUGGUUAGGAGAGGACUUUAUUGGAAAAUGCUCUUUCCCAAGGAUCUAAUUUGGAGUGUGCUGAAAAGGUGUUCAUGGGCUUGCUCUGGCCUAAUGGGUAGAGAUGAGAAGUGAUGCAUGGGGAUCGCUAACAGGUGUGGUUGGAAUGGAAAGGAAGCACAGUUGUGCCCUGGAGCUGGGAAGAAAGCGUGCCCAGGAGACAAAAUAAUAUGGAUCCACUUGUCUGUCAUUCGUUACAGAUGCUCCAAGAGAAUGGGUUAAAACAAUUGUAAGUUGAACGUGAAGCCCUGCGACAAUCAUCAUGUCAUGUUAGGUUUCCCGGCUUCCAGGAUGUCUCACACGGAACCUGCCAUGCUGGGGUAGGUGUGGUCAUCCGUGCAGGCCUCGCUCUUCCUGGCUUGUCCCUGCCCUCACUCAGUAACCAGGGACCCGUUUCCAGGUCAGCCUGCUUCUCCUGCUCAGCUGCCCCUGGAGGACCUGAGCAUGCCAUACUCGCCGGGACACUGCCAGCACCCACUUCAGAGAAAGGCAAGCGGUCAGAUGUUCCUGCACCUUCCGAGGUGCUGCUGCUUCGCUUUGAGUUUUGCUGCUUGACCCUCACUGCCCUGCAUAAGAUGAUGCUAGAAAGGACAGGUGGCUCCUUGUCCUCAGUGGCCGCAGAGCUAAAUCAGUCCUCUUAGCCACAUCCAUCUGCUCCUGCCCUGCAACUUCUCUCCGUCUUCCCGGCCCCACAAGGCUGAAGGAUAGAAUGUGGGCUGGAGAUCUUUUCUUGCUUGAAAUGAACCGUGGGCAGUGGAGUCUCGGGGGCACCUUGUUAGAUUGCUGGACUCUGAGUCCAGCUGACAGGGGAACUCUGUGGGCUUACGAUCUGGAUCUGCAGCACCGUGGUGGAGUUUUCAUUUCCCCUUCCUCUCUCUUCCUUUUCCCUCUUCUCCGACAUGACACCAGGGAUGCAUUUCUGCCUUUCCUCUCUCAGGACACUUCUUCAGGAAUUCCUACUGGCCUACAGGAGAAAGUGACUGGAGGGAAACACUGCAGCUAACAAGUUUCUGCAGCAGUUCAGGAGAGAAAAUGAGGACUCAUAGAAGCACAUUGCAAUGAGAAUGGAAGGAGAAGGUUGGAGGGACUCACAGCUGAGAGUUUGCCUUGAAUCUCAGAGAAGACUUUAGACUUGGAAUUUUCAGCAAUGGUGAAUCUGUUAAAAUUUUGACUCAUAGAGAUGGGCUAAAUGCAUUGUGCAUAAAGAGAUGCACAUGAGUCUUUUGGGGGCCAAUGGCAGAAUGUUAUGGUUUAGAUCUAGAAUUCUCCCUCAAAAGGCUCAUAAGUUCAGAGGUGAGGCUUUUGAAAGUGAUUGGAUCAUGGGUUUAUCAGUUAGGGUUCUCUAGAGGGACUGAUUUAAUAUAGUAAUAUAGAUUAUAAUGAAGGAUUUACAGGGUAGGCUUACAGUGACCACCUACGGAAUCAGGGUGGGAGAAUAUGAAAUGGCUAUCUGCAUGCUGGAGCUGGAAGAUCCAGUCAAAGGUCAAAAGCCUGGAGUUCACUGCAGAGUCAGGUGCAGGUCUGUGACCAAGAGCUGAAGCAUCUGCUUUGGAAGGCUGGAGUCUGUGCCAGAGGCUAGAGGGACCUGGAGAUGAAUGUCCAAAGAGGAGGCAAAGAGCAGAACUCCUUCAUAGAAGAAAACAGAUGAUUCCCUUCUUUCCCUUCUUAUUCCAUCCAGGCCACAAGCUUAUCAGUUGAUGUCACCCACAUCCGGGAUGGGUCUUCCUUCCUCAGUUUGCAGCCUGCAUGUCAAUAAUCCACAGACACACUGGAGCUUUACUAAUCUGCUGGGCUGUUCUUAGGUCAAGUUGACAAAUCACAGUUAACAAUCACAACAGGGAUACUUACUCACCUGCACACUGAUCCACCGAGGACUUCAGAGCUGAGUGUGCUGUUAGGCAGUAGAGUCUGGACAGAGCAGGAGGGAGGGUCACUAGGGGCAGACUCGUAAGGGACCCGGGCUCCUCCCUUCACUCUCUGCUUCCGGGCCACCAUGAUAGGACACAAGAAGCUCUCUUCCUUCAGGCUCCUUGACCAGACUGUUUUUUCAAUGCGUGGACUAAGAUCUCUGUAAGUGUGAGCCCAAAUAACCCCCUCCUCCUUUAAGCUUUGGGUGUUGUAUACUGUGUCUUACUGGGAAUGUGACAAAGACAAGGGAAUAGUGUCUACUGUUAGCUGGGAUGGGAGAAGUUUGUCAUUUUUGCUGCUGCCUAGUGCUUUCGUUUUUAUCUCCAGCCACUCUGUUAUAGAGUGGUCUUAUCAGCGAGAGCCCUUAUCUGAUGCUGCUAUUCUGUAGAGUCACAAAGGAGAGACUCAGCACCUAGCUGGUGGCCACAGUUAUCUGUGGUCAGGGCUCUCUUCUUUCUUACUACUUUAAAAAAUUUUUUUAUUUUUAUGAGUUUCUGUUUGCAGUACUAAUGAUCCCAUUCAUCAUGGAGAAUUGGUACAUGUGCAUAAUACAUCUUAAUUUUUUUUUACAUCCCCUUCUCUUCCCUCCCCUUGCAGAAUUGAAAAUGAUGUUUUCUUCCUGCUUAAUUGGGUACUUUCCACAUCCAUUCUUAAAUGAAGCCUCAUACUUUUAUCCAAAACUUGGCAGUUAUUUUUCUAAUUAUAAAUGCAAAGCUCUUUCUUUUGGAUUUGAUUUUCUUACCCAAAAUCUGACUUAGAGGAACAGGAGUUUGGGGCAGAAACAGAACUGUAUACCAUAGACUUGGUUAGAGUCUUUGAUAAUGGAGAUCUGCCUUCCAGUUAAGAGAGAAAACACCCUUAUUAGACAAGGGAUGAGAGCUUUUCUUUGAGGAAAGAUUUAUUUACUUAUUUCCAUGGAUACAGUUGUGUUUCUUCAAGUCUGAAGAAAACAAUCUAGGAAAAGCUGCAAAAUGCAGAGCGCCCAUGAUGAGACACGAGCUUGCAGAAAUCUGAUUUCCUUGCUGACCCAUUUCUCCCUCCAGCGACAAUUAGGGAUCCUUUCACAAUAAGACCAGAGGGUUCCAAUGUCUUUUAAAUUGAAGUUGUUUUCUUUAACCCCAUUAGCCAUACUGCAGGGAACGCUGAUUCUUCUCCUGGGCCAUUUCUUCUGCUGUGUAAAUUUCUAAUCAUUUACACCCACACCCAUACCCACACACUGCCCAGACUGAAAGCUCUUUGGAGUCUGCAGAAGUGAAGCAGACCAGAUUUGUCUUCAUCCCCAUGAUGCUGAGGGAGCAGAGGAUGGCUGUUUCCCUUAGUAACACCCACUUGUCCCCAUAGCACGGUCCCCAGGGCAGUACUUGUAGGCUGGCAGAUUGCUGCAUUUAUGGAAGACACAGUCACUCUGAGAUCCAAUUGUGAUUUUUUUUAUGGUUUAAACAUACUUUAUUUGUAUGUAUAAAAUGCUCUGUGUAGUUGACCCCAACAUUGUUCACACUGACUUCAAGAGUUCUGUUUUCCAUGUUCAAGUUGCUCAGUUGCUGCUGUUGGUUUGUUUUCUUUCAGGAUCAAGGUGGGUGCUUUCAUAUAAAAUCUUAUUUUUUAUUCCUUCUCUGGCAUUUCUUUGCUGGAUUCUUUCCUUUGCACAAUUAUACCUGCAAUGGAACCAACAUCCUAAAGUCACCAUGAUAAAUCCUCCUACACCAACAUCACACGAUCUUCUAAUUCUGCCUUCCUCUUCCCAGGUUUGCCUGGCUCCGGUGCAGCAGCCACGAUCAGAAGUCCGCCAUUCCUGGGAGAGAGGCAGAGGUGCUUGUGUGAUCCGACAAAUCCAGCCUGUUCUGAAGCAGCAUUUGUAGACUGUGAAAAGAACACCAUCCUGGUCAAGCCAAGGCCCUUUGUCACACUUGAAGCAGGGAAUACCCUCUACCACCUUUUCCACACCUUGAGUUUCCCUUGAGCCAUGGUGCAAACCCUCACAUUUUUCACUCAUCUUAGGGCGGACUGAUUCCUGUAGGGAUUCUUGGGGCCCUGAAGAUAGGCAGAGGCUACCUUCUUCUCUGCAGCUGACUCUGGAUUUCAGGCAUGGGCGUAGGGAAGUAGAUCAGCAGGUGGAGGGGGCCACCGAGUCACAGACGGUGGGCUUUUCCACCUUCUGCAAGUGACCCACACGCUGCUUUCAGGUGAAGCCUGAGUAUUGCAUUGCUUUCAGGAAGACCAAAUCCCUGUCCCUGCAGCACCCCAAGCACACGGUGCCCUGUGUUUAGCAGGUGUUCCAAGGGGGCUGAGUACUCCAGGAAGCAAUUGGUGAACAACCAGGCCUGAAGGCCUAAUAGUGGGCACUGUUACUUUUCUGAUCCUCUAAUUUCUCCCAACUGUGGCAGUCUCUACACUCUAUGUUAGCUUUUCCAUCUUCUGAGGUGUUGUUUAUAUAAUCAAUCCCUACCUCAGGGAAAUGUGUUAAGCCUGGUUUCUCUGGUGAUUCUUUUGCAAGGCUGCCUUUUUCAGAACAUGCACGGCUGGCUUCAGUUAUCACUGGAUCCUGUUGUUGUUUGGGUUGUUUUCUUUUUCUUUUUUCCCAUUAAGUUUACUGGUACAUUUUAGGUAUAAAAUACAGUUACAUUCAUCAUCUGGAUCUUGUACCUUUACAUGAGUAUCUUGGUUCUUAUUUUUUCCCCUUUC